Molecule: ribosomal RNA, 453 nt
Filed under: uncultured bacterium
Lineage: Bacteria
Description: bacterial SSU rRNA
Rfam family: Bacterial small subunit ribosomal RNA
Source: RNAcentral
GACGAACGCUGGCGGUGUGCUUCACACAUGCAAGUCGAACGAGGUAGCAAUACCUAGUGGCGGACGGGUGAGUAACGCGUGGGAAUCUGCCUUUGGAUGGGGGAUAACGGGUCGAAAGACUCGCUAAUACCGCAUAUGACGAAAGUUGAAAGGAGUAAUCCGUCUAAAGAUGAGCCCGCGUCCGAUUAGCUAGUUGGUAGAGUAAAAGCCUACCAAGGCGACGAUCGGUAGCUGGUCUGAGAGGAUGAUCAGCCACAAUGGGACUGAGACACGGCCCAUACUCCUACGGGAGGCAGCAGUGGGGAAUUUUACGCAAUGGGCGAAAGCCUGACGUAGCGACACCGCGUGAGCGAAGAAGCCCCUUGGGGUGUAGAGCUCUGUCAGCUGGAACGAAAAAAUGACGGUACCAGCAGAGGAAGCAUCGGCUAACUACGUGCCAGCAGCCGCGGUAAU